AACGAACGCUGGCGGCAUGCCUAACACAUGCAAGUCGAACGAGACCUUCGGGUCUAGUGGCGCACGGGUGCGUAACGCGUGGGAACCUGCCCUUAGGUUCGGAAUAACUCCCCGAAAGGGGUGCUAAUACCGGAUAAUGUCUUCGGACCAAAGAUUUAUCGCCUUUGGAUGGGCCCGCGUUGGAUUAGCUAGUUGGUAGGGUAAAAGCCUACCAAGGCGACGAUCCAUAGCUGGUCUGAGAGGAUGAUCAGCCACACUGGGACUGAGACACGGCCCAGACUCCUACGGGAGGGAGCAGUGGGGAAUAUUGGACAAUGGGCGAAAGCCUGAUGCAGCAAUGCCGCGUGAGUGAUGAAGGCCUUAGGGUUGUAAAGCUCUUUUACCCGGGAUGAUAAUGACAGUACCGGGAGAAUAAGCUCCGGCUAACUCCGUG
RNAcentral lists this ribosomal RNA (433 nucleotides) under uncultured bacterium. Its description in RNAcentral is "partial 16S ribosomal RNA". It matches the Rfam family "Bacterial small subunit ribosomal RNA", at positions 29 to 507 of the family's 1533-position model. The record is from RNAcentral.